RNAcentral lists this ribosomal RNA (506 nucleotides) under uncultured bacterium. Its description in RNAcentral is "partial 16S ribosomal RNA". It matches the Rfam family "Bacterial small subunit ribosomal RNA", at positions 30 to 523 of the family's 1533-position model. The record is from RNAcentral.
AUUGAACGCUGGCGGCAGGCCUAACACAUGCAAGUCGAACGGCAGCACAGAAGAGCUUGCUCUUUGGGUGGCGAGUGGCGGACGGGUGAGUAAUGUCUGGGAAACUGCCCGAUGGAGGGGGAUAACUACUGGAAACGGUAGCUAAUACCGCAUAACGUCGCAAGACCAAAGUGGGGGACCUUCGGGCCUCACACCAUCGGAUGUGCCCAGAUGGGAUUAGCUAGUAGGUGGGGUAAUGGCUCACCUAGGCGACGAUCCCUAGCUGGUCUGAGAGGAUGACCAGCCACACUGGAACUGGGACACGUUCCAGACUCCUACGGGAGGCAGCAGUGGGGAAUAUUGCACAAUGGGCGCAAGCCUGAUGCAGCCAUGCCGCGUGUAUGAAGAAGGCCUCCGGGUUGUAAAGUACUUUCAGCGGGGAGGAAGGCGGUGAGGUUAAUAACCUUGCCGAUUGACGUUACCCGCAGAAGAAGCACCGGCUAACUCCGUGCCAGCCGCCGCGGUAA